ACGGGGAGGACUUUUCUGUUUCUAACCAGCUCUCCGUCAGCAGAACAGCGGCUUCCACGUUGGAGCUCCAUCCUCAGCCAGUCCCACCGUGUGCACAGAGGAGCCGCUCUCUCACACAUGAGGAGACGAUAAUCACAUUCAUUCCUCACCAUCAGAGGAACAUUGUCAGAGGAGGUUGUGACCUUCACAGAGAAGCAGAACUCUGAACGUCCUGUUGAAGACCACAGCUUUCCCUCUGACCGUCAGGAUGCUGAUGGAGACUCCUCGCUCAUGGAUCCACAUUCCUGCCCCACCAGUGUCAUCAGUCGUCUUGUUCUGUUUCUACAAUGUCUAUCAUUUUAACUAUUUUAAUGUGUGUUGUUCUAAAUUGUAAAGUGUCUUUGUUAGCCUGGAUGGGUGCUUAUAAAUGAAAUGUAUUAUUAUUAUUGUUGUCAAAAUACAACUUGAAUAAUCUACAAACCCACAAAUUCAGUAAUUGUAUAUUUUACAAUCUGUAAUGCAGUUGCUAAGUAAAAAAA
Molecule: long non-coding RNA, 518 nt
Organism: Oryzias melastigma (Indian medaka)
Lineage: Eukaryota; Metazoa; Chordata; Actinopteri; Beloniformes; Adrianichthyidae
Exons: 2
Source: RefSeq, a predicted model, not a curated record